AGACAGAAAAUGACAUAAAUCUUAAACAACGAGACUAAACACUAGAUAAGAUCAGAUUUGUAUUGCCCUCACGUAUGGUAAAAUAAUAAAAAUUAAUGUUGUAACGGGGAGACAAUUUGUUCUUCAUUUUUGCAGUACUGAGUUAAACAAAGGAAACCUGUGGUAACUUGCUUCCAUCAAGACUCUAGCUUCUUAUUUGGCUCUUCAAACUUAUCUGUUGAAGUCCGAUGUUCAACCAUGCCUCCAGCAGCUCUCGCGGUGUAGAAAUACACGAUAAAAUGAAAUGAUGUCCUGCCACCAGCUAGCAGCCACGAGAUUGUUGGUCUUAGGAGCAAGACUGCUAACUAUAUCCUAAAUGCUGAGGCAUAUCACUGGAGAUAACUCAAUGCCAGAAAAGAGCAAGUCCAAUGAAGUUUUUGUUACAACAAUGCUGUGGCAGUUGUAUACUUAUUGAAGUUCCUAAAGAUCGGAUAUUAAUCAGAUCCAAAAGGAGAAGGAGGAGACAAGAUAAAUUUGCUGAUUAUGUAAUCGUUCAAAAAAUAUUAAAUUGAAACAUGAAACAUACAUAUAUUCAUGACAUGCCUGCAGUUUUGGAAGAUCCACCUAAGAAAAUGAUCAGAUCGAGUUCCUCAAAGCAGGGCUGAAACUCCUGGUUCUGCUAAGAACAUUCACAUAACAAUAUUAAAAACUGGAUUUCAUCAAAAUAUUUUAUGUCAAAUUAAAAAAAAGGAAGAUAUUGAUUUAUAUGUUUCCAAUGCCAGACCAAAUAAACAUUUUCCCCCUGAAAGAAAGUUCAGUUGAUCAAACACCACAAAAACUUUCAUUUAACUUGAUGAUCAGAUCGAAGAUUUGAUGGUCUUCCCACCAUUACAAAAAAUUGUCGCCAUUUACAGGCUACAAAAAGCUGCAAUAGGAAGCAUUUCGUUAAUUCACAGUUAAUAAUAAAAACAGCAAAUAGUUAUUUAAAUUAGUAUCUCUAUCAGUUAAUCAAUAUAUAACUACUAUCUUUACGAAGUAAGUCAAUCACAUACGAUUAAAAGUCAUUUCACUUCUCUUGUCCAUGUCAUUACUUACUAAUAUUACAACAUAGCGGCAACUACGAGUGCAUAAUAUUUAUACUUACUUUAGUGAUGCAAUAGGCUUUCCCGAAAUUUAAGUUUAGUUAGCCUAUUUUUCAGCAACAGCUUUAGCUUUUUGCCCCCUGUUGAGCGCUAAUUUUUUGUUUUAGUUUGAACCAUAGAACAGAGAAGAUUGAAAUUGAGUCUUCACUCUCCAAAACGAAUGCAGCUAUCUAGCCACAGCAGAGCAAACGUUAAACACUUAGAUUUGAUAAAUUUAAUUUCUAACAUAGCAACGUUAGAAAUUUAGAUUUGAUCAAUUUAAGCUGCUUGGCAAACAAGAAAAUGAAGGAAAACAGAGGAAACUGAAACAGAGCAUCUUAGAACUUCCAUUGAUUUCGAGUGAAAAAAAACUAUAAUAAUUACAAUAAUUAAUGCUAAUCCGCACAGUCUAGAAAUAUCUUACUAACUGCUUUUUAAAAGCUAACACAAAUCAUAACAAAUUUUAUGCUUAGAACACAAUAUCCGAACAAAAUAUCCUUAAUUAACUCAAAAAGCACAUAGAAACUCAUAGGAGUAAAACUAAUAAAGCAUAACAAACCUCAUCGUUUUUUGAGGUUUCUCUUGUAUGAGAAUCUAGCAGAGAGUUUCAUGUAGUGUUUUUGUGAGGUACGAAGUAGGUGUCCCGAGCAACAUCAAUCAUUUUCGAGAUUAGAAGUGGGAAUAGUUUGGUUAAAAGUCUGUCCAAAAUCAAUAAGUUUUUUUUUUUUCCUUAUUAUAACCUAAUUAUGUGAGAAAUGUUAGGGACAAAUUAAAAUAAAAGCAAAACAUAAUACCUGCAGUUUCAAAAUUUAUACUCAUGAUAUUGCACGAAUGAUGGACAAGGGAGAACGUAAUUGGGUGAUUACAACUUUGGUUUGAGAGAGAGUGUCUAUUUUAAAACGUUGAUGACAGGGCAGCCAAAUAUAGACAUUGCAUCUCUAUUUGCAUCAAAGCCUUUAUCAACAUGAGAAUGGAAGAAUUAGUACAUAGUUUUUGUCCAAUUUCAUGGGUUUCCGCAGGAAGUUUUGAAAUGUAUGUAUUGGUUGGAGUCUGCACUCUGCACAAUUAAAACUGUGAUGUAACAUUGAUGAAAUUACCUAUAAGACAAAUUAAAUGGCUUUAAUCAUACUUCAGGAGACGCUCAGUGAAAGUCAAGAGAUCACUUUCUUUAAAGGUGCAAUUACAAAAGAGCUGAAGGGAUCAUCACGGCAAUGGCUUUGUCCUGAAAACUACUUGGUCAAACACCUGGGGGCUUUCAACAAAAUGAUAAAGCAACAACUCAUGAAAAAUUCCAU
Molecule: long non-coding RNA, 2395 nt
Filed under: Citrus maxima (pomelo)
Lineage: Eukaryota; Viridiplantae; Streptophyta; Magnoliopsida; Sapindales; Rutaceae
Description: long non-coding RNA (CMAX_LNC000732)
Source: RNAcentral